Molecule: antisense RNA, 75 nt
Filed under: Micromonospora peucetia
Lineage: Bacteria; Bacillati; Actinomycetota; Actinomycetes; Micromonosporales; Micromonosporaceae
Description: ASpks TB sRNA
Rfam family: ASpks TB sRNA
Source: RNAcentral
CUUGACCGAGCCGAGCCAGAGCGGCUGGUCCGCCGGCCGACCCUGCCCGUACGUCGACAGCAGGGCCUGGGCCUC